RNAcentral lists this long non-coding RNA (3834 nucleotides) under Taeniopygia guttata (zebra finch). Its description in RNAcentral is "lncRNA (ENSTGUG00000023489.1)". Lineage: Eukaryota; Metazoa; Chordata; Aves; Passeriformes; Estrildidae. The record is from RNAcentral.
GGGGCAGCGGCGGCUCGCGGCGGCGGCGCUGGAAGUUCCCGAGUUCCAGCGUCGCCAGAAUGGGAAGCAAGCGAAGCCAAAAUGCCCCCGGGGAGCGCGGCCCCGCUGGGGAGGCCCGGCACUUCCACAUCCCCGCCUCGCGACUCCCCCGUAGCCCAGCCCGCUCCCUCGGAGCCAGCCAGGGACCUCGGGGCGCUGCCGGGGGCUUUGGCAUCUGCGCGAGCGAUGGAUAAGAGGAGUGUUGUCAACGGCAGGACGAGCGAUAGAUGGUGAUGCCUGCAACCUAUGGCUGAACUGGAGGUUGUAGAGUACCAGAGCUUCACAAGAAGUGUGAUCAGACUGCAAAUGAUCUCUGCAUAUGACACUGGUUGCAUUUUUUGUCUGCUUCCUUGUUUUUAAUCUAAUACUAAUGUAAAAUGAAGACUGGCACAUGUGGCUCCCUUUUCCCAGGUGAGGCCCUACCACAAGAUUAAAAGAUUGUGAUCAUUCUAGAUGGACUAAUUAGUACUUUUCUCAUGCAGAGGGGAGCAACUUUCUUAACAGAGAUUAAGAAGAAAUCAUAUCUUGAGGAUAUUUUCCCAGGUGGCUAGCUCAGUCUGUUCUGAGGAGAGUGGUGUGUAUGCCUUUCAGUUCAUUCACUGAUGGAUAAUUCUAAUAGUGUAGGACUCUGUAAGAGGACAGGUCAUGACAUAUUUGCAGACACCAGUAUUUCAAAUUCCAGCACACAGAAGGUAAGGUGUUCUUGCUGCUGUAUUCCUCAGUUUUGAAUUUUACCCAUACCAGUAAUCUGAAGAGCACUACUGCUCAGUCAGUUUCUGGCCAGUUGCUCAUUCCAGUGGCCAUAUCCAUGUUACUUUCAACCUCCAAAACAGGACAGCUGCAUCUGCAUUGUCAGCUGGGCCUGCGCUACCCCCUGAGCCAUGCCAAGGGUGGCUUGGGAGAAUGCUGCUUGUCCUGGACCUAGUGCAGGGAUUCUGCUGUCAACAAUUUAACAGUGUAAGCUCUGGGCUUCAAGUCUGCAGCUCUGUGUCCUGGCACCUCUUGCUUUGCUAGCAUAGACACAGCUUUUGCAAAAAACAAAGCUGCCAUUGUGCUUUACUUCUGAAACUGAGAUAUCUUUAUAGUAAGGUAUAGUACAUAAAACACUGAAUACAUUCCACAACAAUGUCCUUUGCUAGGAAGUUCUAGAGGCAGAGAUAAAUCCUAGCUAGUUUGUAAUAAAUGCUAAGACAGCUCAGUUCACUUUUACUCAGCCUCCAAAUUACUUGAGUCUUUAUUUUGUCCACUAAAUAAUGUGAAAAUGCUGAAAUUCUUAAAAUUAUCAUAAAAGCUUCUCAGGGCCACACUAAAGAUCCUUGAAUGAAGAGUUGAUGUGGAGAACAAACUGGAAAAUACAAAGUCUCAAGCUGAUGAGAAGUUGAAAGGAAACAAUGUAACAUUACAAGGAGGUAAACAAAUCAACACCUUUUAGAGAGAUUCACAGUGUAUCUCAAUUAUUGCUACAGUGUUCUGACCUGAUAACUGCCUACAGUUUGUGGUAGUAAAGCGCUGGCUGCAGUUGCUCCCAACAAAUCUAUUUAAAGGUGCUUGAGAGGUGUCACAAAGGACAUCUUACAUCUUAGAAUCAUAUCAUAUCUUGUUGGAAGAGACCAGCAAGGAUAAUCAAAAUCCAACUCCUGGCACUGCAUAGGUCAGCCUCAAAUAUCACAUCAUGCGCCCGAAAUCAUUGUCCAAAUAUUCCUUGAACUCUGUCAGGCUGGUGCUGUGACCACUUUCCUGGGGAGCCUAUUCCAAUGCCCAACCACCAUCUGGGUGAAAAAUUAUUUUCUAUUACCCAACAUAAACCUUCCCUGAAACAACUUCAGGCCAUUCCCUUGGUCCUGUCACCAGAGAGAAGAGAUCAGUGCCUGCCCCUUCCCCUCAUGAGGAAGUUGUAACUGCAGUGAGGUCUCCCCUCAGUCUCCUCCAGGCUGAACAGACCAAGUGCCCUCAGCUGCUCCCCACACAGCUUUCCCUCAACGCCCUUCACCAUCUUUGUUGCCCUCCUUGGACACUCUCGAAUAGUUUAAUGUCUUCUUACAUUGUGGUGCCCAAAACUGCCCCCAGCACUUGAGGUGAGGCUGCCCCAGUGCAGAGCAGAGCAGGACAAUGCCCUCCCUUGCCCAGCUGGUGAUGGGACACCCAGGUCCCUUUCCCUUUCCAUGUCACUGCUUUCCAGUAUCCCAUUCCCUGUUCUCUCUGUACACUCAGGAUUGCCUCAUCCCAGGUACAAAUCCAACACUUGCUUUUGUUAAACACUUGCUUUUGUUUAACAAAAGUUGGGUGAUUGCCCAGUCCUCUAAUUUGUCAGACUUUGUCAGACCUUACUGGGAACAGGAAGACUAGUACAUGGAAAGCAUUGUAAAGAAUCCUCAGUGUUUGGCCAUAAAGCUUCUUGCCACUGGCUUGUUAUCUGGUGAAAAUAUGACAAUUGGGGGGGGGUGGGGGGGGUGGAAGGUGGAACACCCCCUUUUGAAAGAAGUAAUAUAUAACUAAGUCCUUUUCUCAUGGUCCAACAAUAAUAUAAUCUACUAAGAUCUACUAAACAUGCCAGAUGCACUGUUGUUAAGAGAUAUAUGAUACCAAAUGCUUUGUUUAAUUGCUCCAGGAAUAAAGGAACAGCCAGUAUUUUCCAUGCUUGGUAUAAACCAAGACUGUUGUUAUAAGCGAUGAACUGAAUUGGUCAUUGCAUUUUGUAAGAAUGCAAUAUUUGUGCUGCUGCCUUCUUUCUGUGUAUUACCUAAUGCAUUGUAGGAUCUAUAAACCUAAAACACCACCCCACCAUGAAAGGAUUAGUCCAAUGCUAAUGCUGAGGCAUUCACCAGAUGAAGAGCACUAUUAUUUUCAUUUAAAGGAGAUUGCAUUUAAAAAAGAAGUUAGGACACCCCUGUGAUCGUGUGAAUGGGACAGUGGCUUGACAGAGCCAAAGACAAGCACUUUAAAUCUGUUGCUUACAGCCUGUGUGGCAGUGAUUCACCUUGAAGUUUCAUCACUGAAGCUGACAUCUAUUUGGAAAUACAAUUUUAUUUUUUGCUGGUUUUUGGGGAUGUCUUCACAAUUGUAUUCAACUGCUACUGUAAUUGGCAUUUGCAGCUCAAUAUUUAAAACCAAUUUCAUACACUUCCCAUAGAAGUGUAAUAGCAUGUGUAGUAGCAUAGCACUAGUCAUCUCUUGUCAUUAAUUCCUGAAAACACUAUCCACAGUCACUAUUUUUGAAUAACUAUUGUCAACUUUCUGAUUCAUCAUAGUCAUAUAAGACAACCAGCUGCCAGAAAUAGCACUACCAAAUCUAUCCUAAUGCAACUAUUUGGGAGUUUCUGUGCUACUCCACAUUGGAACAACUUGCACAUGUCCCACUGUUCCCUUUGAUGAACUACCUCUGCACACACCUUGUGAAUCCAAGGCCCCCACCUCCCCUCUGCUGCUGUGGCCAAGCAACCCUCAUUUUGUGUAUGGCUACUAUAAAGAAGUCUCAAAACAGUAGCAGAGGUGCUAUGCUCACCUGGCCUUCCCCUGGCUCUCUCUCUUCCAUCUCACCUCGAAGUCCGGUAUCUAUUGUCACCAAGGUAGAUAGCAGACUCCCUAGUAGCCUCUUCAUGCUCAGAUUUACCAUAUAUUUAAACCUUUAUUCACCUAGUUCCCUUGGGGGUAAAGAAGGCAAAGCUUCCUGAAAGACUCCGAGGUUCAUCAACACAACCAGUAGUUAUCUUGCAGGUGGAGAUUUGGCACCGAUACACAAAUGAUACUUAAGCGCAAAAAUGCCUUCAAGGAAGUAGAAAAAAAAAAAAAAAAAAA